AUUUCUCAGACUUUUUAGUUGAUAUAAUUGUGGGGCUGUUUCGAAUUCUAUAUGCAGUAGUGCGUUAUGUUCUUAUAAUUGUCGUCAGGCCAAUUUACUUGUUUGCGUGAGCCUUUCUAUUUAUCGGUUAUUUCUGCCCGAGCUCAAACUGUAGUCGUUAUGAAGGAACCAGAUGGAUUUGCAAUUUCAUCCUCGGAACAUUCAAAUGAUCUAUCCACAAAUGGGAGAGCGAAACUUCAAUGGACACCCUGUGAACUCCGUCCAUUGAGUAUGAUCCGAAGAUUCAUCUGGAUUGCCCUUAAUCAUCAUGGCAUCAUACAUCUAGAUGGUUUUUCAACUGAAUGGUAAAACUUUCAAUAGUGAAGUGCCAUUACAUGAUUGUGGAUAAGCACAGCACCUUAAAGUACUCUUUGCUUGUGAAUUUAUCUGAACUCGAGAACCACAUGAAUUUACAUUUUUAGUAAUCAGUUCUGUCUAUAGAAUUUGUCGAAAUUAUUUUGACUAAAAUUAAUUUUAAAUAAACCGAUAGAGGUUUCAAAACAA
Molecule: long non-coding RNA, 543 nt
Organism: Argiope bruennichi
Lineage: Eukaryota; Metazoa; Arthropoda; Arachnida; Araneae; Araneidae
Exons: 3
Source: RefSeq, a predicted model, not a curated record